AGUCGACGAGGUCCAUCCAGUGGCACACUGGGGACGACCUAGUGGCGAACGGGUGAGUAACACGUGAGAAACUUGCCCCGGAGACCGGGAUAACCCUCCGAAAGGAGAGCUAAUACCGGAUCUGCUCACCGAACCGCAUGGUUUGGUGAGGAAAUGGACUCCGCUCCGGGAGAGUCUCGCGGCCUAUCAGCUAGUUGGCGGGGUAACGGCCCACCAAGGCAUCGACGGGUAGCUGGUCUGAGAGGACGAUCAGCCACACUGGGACUGAGACACGGCCCAGACUCCUACGGGAGGCAGCAGUGGGGAAUCUUGCACAAUGGGCGAAAGCCUGACGCAGCAACGCCGCGUGCGGGAUGACGGCCCUCGGGUUGUAAACCGCUUUCAGUGGGGACGAAUCAAGACGGUACCCACAGAAGAAGGUCCGGCCAACUACGUGCCAGCAGCCGCGGUAACACGUAGGGACCAAGCGUUGUCCGGAUUCAUUGGGCGUAAAGAGCUCGUAGGCGGUUCGAUAAGUCGGGUGUGAAACCUCCAGGCUCAACCUGGAGACGCCACCUGAUACUGUCGUGACUAGAGUCCAGUAGGGGAGCGUGGAAUUCCUGGUGUAGCGGUGAAAUGCGCAGAUAUCAGAGGAACACCAGCGGCGAAAGCGGCGCUCUGGGCUGGAACUGACGCUGAGGAGCGAAAGCGUGGGGAGCGAACAGGAUUAGAUACCCUGGUAGUCCACGCCGUAAACGUUGGGUACUAGGUGUGGGGGUCUUAUCAACGGAAUUCCGUGCCGGCGCUACGCAUUAAGUACCCCGCCUUGGGGGAGUACGGG
RNAcentral lists this ribosomal RNA (820 nucleotides) under uncultured bacterium. RNAcentral's name for it is "bacterial SSU rRNA". It matches the Rfam family "Bacterial small subunit ribosomal RNA", at positions 60 to 886 of the family's 1533-position model. The record is from RNAcentral.